This is a long non-coding RNA of Polypterus senegalus (gray bichir), 247 nucleotides long. RefSeq lists it as uncharacterized. Lineage: Eukaryota; Metazoa; Chordata; Cladistia; Polypteriformes; Polypteridae. The record is from RefSeq and is a predicted model, not a curated record. The transcript has 3 exons.
CCUUGGAGGGGCUCUGGUGCCCUAAACACAGACGCAGGAGAGCAAGUGAAGUGAGUGCACCAGCUGGAUGGCAGGAGACCAUUUCUGUUGGCCCUCUUUUUCUGGAGAAGGUCUCUCCUUUGUCCUCUGUAUCUCAGGCCUUGUCUCCUCGGCAAGAUGAAGUCUCUGCAGACUCCCAAUUCCAAGAUUCCAUCCUUGGUGCUGUUGUAGGUGUCCUGGCUGUCUCCUGUGUGGGUGUGCUAUUUUU